RNAcentral lists this unclassified non-coding RNA (338 nucleotides) under Hevea brasiliensis (rubber tree). Lineage: Eukaryota; Viridiplantae; Streptophyta; Magnoliopsida; Malpighiales; Euphorbiaceae. The record is from RNAcentral.
GCACAAACAGAGCAAUAGUACCUCCUCUUGGUCUUGAAGUAUAGAGGCAAGAAACAGAACCUCCACUGGCUUUCUACAUCCAUGGCCUGAAUCAUCCCUCCACAGUAAGGACACGCUCCAGGCGCUACCUGUCUCCCUAUCACCCUCUCAUCUUCAUCGCAAACAAACACUAAACACAUCUCUGAUAUUUCCCCUUGAUUUCUUGACUUGUUGCACAACCUCCACUCAGAUCACAAAAUCAACACACCUCUCGACGAUCGCUGACUCAAUUGCUUGAUUUCUUGCUCGCCCUCAGAUAAGAGGAUCAACUCGCUAAGAAGGUUAUUUGGGUAUUUAUA